UGCAGUCGACGGUAACAUUUCUAGCUUGCUAUUAAGAUGACGAGUGGCGGACGGGUGAGUAAUGCUUGGGAACUUGCCUUUGCGAGGGGGAUAACAGUUGGAAACGACUGCUAAUACCGCAUAAUGUCUUCGGACCAAACGGGGCUUUGGCUCCCGCGCCAAGAAAGGCCCCAGUGAAAAUAACUAGUUGGGAAGGUAACGGCUUAACCAGGGGAACAACUCUAACUGGUCUGAAAAGAAAAACAACCACACUGGGACUGAAACCCGGCCCAAACUCCUACCGGAAGCAACCGUGGGGAAUAUUGGACAAUGGGGGAAACCCUGAUGCCACCCUGCCGCGUGUGUGAAAAAAGGCUUCGGGUUGUAAAGCACUUUCCGUUGUGAAGAAAAAUUAGUAAUUAAUACCUGGCAGCCGUGACGGUUACAACAAAAAAAACACCGGCUAACUCCCUGGCCGCAGCCGCCGGAAUACCGAAGGUGGCAACGGUUAUCCGAAUUACUUGGCGUUAAGCGCAAGGCGGCGGUUUGUUUAGCUAGAUGUGAAAACCCCGGGCUCAACCUGGGAUGGGCCUUUAAAACUGGGAGAAUAAAAUCCUGGAGAAGGGAGUGGAAUU
This 614-nucleotide ribosomal RNA is filed under the name Alteromonas gracilis. Its description in RNAcentral is "bacterial SSU rRNA". It matches the Rfam family "Bacterial small subunit ribosomal RNA", at positions 56 to 668 of the family's 1533-position model. The record is from RNAcentral. Lineage: Bacteria; Pseudomonadati; Pseudomonadota; Gammaproteobacteria; Alteromonadales; Alteromonadaceae.